Molecule: ribosomal RNA, 585 nt
Filed under: Lophiotoma polytropa
Lineage: Eukaryota; Metazoa; Mollusca; Gastropoda; Neogastropoda; Turridae
Description: partial 12S ribosomal RNA
Source: RNAcentral
UGCCAGCAGUCGCGGUUACACCGAGAAGUUAAGUCAUAUNAAUAAUGGUAAAAAGGCAGUUAGACAUAAUUAAUUUUUAGGUUUACUUAACUUUUAUAAAAAAGUAAAAUUUGUAUAUAAUUGUAUAUUUUAAUUAGGACUGUAAAGUUGAAUCUGCGAUCGCCUGGAGGGAAACUGGGAUUAGAUACCCCAUUAUUCCUGGAUGUAAAUUAAAUUUAAAUUUACCGGAGUACUAUGAAUAUAUAAAAUUUAAAACUCAAAGGACUUGGCGGUAUUUUAGACUAUUUAGGGGAACCUGUCUCAUAAUCGAUAAUCCACGUUACACCUAACCUUUUUUUGCUUUCAGCUUGUAUAUCGUUGUCGUCAGGUAACUUUUUAGAAAUUAGAAGUUAGCUAAAAAUGGUAAAUUUAAACGUCAAAUCAAGGUGCAGUUAAUAAAAAGGGGAAGAUGGGUUACAAUUAUUUUAAUUAUAAUUACGAAAAACCACAGGAAUCUGCGGUUAAUAAGGAGGACUUAAAAGUAAAUUAGAUUAUAUAAAUAAUUUGAAUAAAGCUCUGAAAUGUGCACACAUCGCCCGCCGCUCU